CCUGCCCCUAGAGGCACUGCAGGUGCGGCUGCUGUGUCACAUGUGCCUCAGUAGUUGACAGAGAGGAGAGACGCUAUGUCUACACUCAGUGGUCCGACCUAUGAACACCGGAAUGAUUACUAGCCUAACAUU
Molecule: small nucleolar RNA, 132 nt
Organism: Psammomys obesus (fat sand rat)
Lineage: Eukaryota; Metazoa; Chordata; Mammalia; Rodentia; Muridae
Product: small nucleolar RNA SNORA17
Exons: 1
Source: RefSeq, a predicted model, not a curated record